UCAUCUUCGGGGGUAGAGCACUGUUUCGGCAAGGGGGUCAUCCCGACUUACCAACCCGAUGCAAACUGCGAAUACCGGAGAAUGUUAUCACGGGAGACACACGGCGGGUGCUAACGUCCGUCGUGAAGAGGGAAACAACCCAGACCGCCAGCUAAGGUCCCAAAGUCAUGGUUAAGUGGGAAACGAUGUGGGAAGGCCCAGACAGCCAGGAUGUUGGCUUAGAAGCAGCCAUCAUUUAAAGAAAGCGUAAUAGCUCACUGGUCGAGUCGGCCUGCGCGGAAGAUGUAACGGGGCUAAACCAUGCACCGAAGCUGCGGCAGCGACACUAUGUGUUGUUGGGUAGGGGAGCGUUCUGUAAGCCUGUGAAGGUGUGCUGUGAGGCAUGCUGGAGGUAUCAGAAGUGCGAAUGCUGACAUAAGUAACGAUAAAGCGGGUGAAAAGCCCGCUCGCCGGAAGACCAAGGGUUCCUGUCCAACGUUAAUCGGGGCAGGGUGAGUCGACCCCUAAGGCGAGGCCGAAAGGCGUAGUCGAUGGGAAACAGGUUAAUAUUCCUGUACUUGGUGUUACUGCGAAGGGGGGACGGAGAAGGCUAUGUUGGCCGGGCGACGGUUGUCCCGGUUUAAGCGUGUAGGCUGGUUUUCCAGGCAAAUCCGGAAAAUCAAGGCUGAGGCGUGAUGACGAGGCACUACGGUGCUGAAGCAACAAAUGCCCUGCUUCCAGGAAAAGCCUCUAAGCAUCAGGUAACAUUAAAUCGUACCCCAAACCGACACAGGUGGUCAGGUAGAGAAUACCAAGGCGCUUGAGAGAACUCGGGUGAAGGAACUAGGCAAAAUGGUGCCGUAACUUCGGGAGAAGGCACGCUGAUAUGUAGGUGAAGUCCCUCGCGGAUGGAGCUGAAAUCAGUCGAAGAUACCAGCUGGCUGCAACUGUUUAUUAAAAACACAGCACUGUGCAAACACGAAAGUGGACGUAUACGGUGUGACGCCUGCCCGGUGCCGGAAGGUUAAUUGAUGGGGUUAGCGGUAACGCGAAGCUCUUGAUCGAAGCCCCGGUAAACGGCGGCCGUAACUAUAACGGUCCUAAGGUAGCGAAAUUCCUUGUCGGGUAAGUUCCGACCUGCACGAAUGGCGUAAUGAUGGCCAGGCUGUCUCCACCCGAGACUCAGUGAAAUUGAACUCGCUGUGAAGAUGCAGUGUACCCGCGGCAAGACGGAAAGACCCCGUGAACCUUUACUAUAGCUUGACACUGAACAUUGAGCCUUGAUGUGUAGGAUAGGUGGGAGGCUUUGAAGUGUGGACGCCAGUCUGCAUGGAGCCGACCUUGAAAUACCACCCUUUAAUGUUUGAUGUUCUAACGUUGACCCGUGAUCCGGGUU
RNAcentral lists this ribosomal RNA (1375 nucleotides) under Escherichia coli. RNAcentral's name for it is "partial 23S ribosomal RNA". It matches the Rfam family "Bacterial large subunit ribosomal RNA", at positions 890 to 2246 of the family's 2925-position model. The record is from RNAcentral. Lineage: Bacteria; Pseudomonadati; Pseudomonadota; Gammaproteobacteria; Enterobacterales; Enterobacteriaceae.